AUACGGAGGGCGCAAGCGUUGUUCGGAAUCAUUGGGCGUAAAGAGCGUGUAGGCGGCUUGGUAAGUCGGGUGUGAAAGCCCGGGGCUCAACCCCGGAAUUGCAUUCGAAACUGCUUCGCUAGAGUCCCGGAGAGGAAGGCGGAAUUCUCGGUGUAGAGGUGAAAUUCGUAGAUAUCGAGAGGAACACCAGUGGCGAAGGCGGCCUUCUGGACGGUGACUGACGCUGAGACGCGAAAGCGUGGGGAGCAAACAGGAUUAGAAACCCCAGUAGUCC
Molecule: ribosomal RNA, 274 nt
Filed under: uncultured bacterium
Lineage: Bacteria
Description: partial 16S ribosomal RNA
Rfam family: Bacterial small subunit ribosomal RNA
Source: RNAcentral